AAAUAGUAAUGUACCGAAGACAGUAGGUGGCGAUUGCCUUAAUCAUUCCUACCGAGGACAAUCAUGAUUGUUAACAAUAAUCAGUCGUUCUCUAUGUCUACGGUGACAUGGAGUUUUUUUAUUUA
This 125-nucleotide small RNA is filed under the name Melissococcus plutonius. RNAcentral describes it as "Ribosomal protein L10 leader". It matches the Rfam family "Ribosomal protein L10 leader". Rfam says of the family: This family is a putative r-protein leader autoregulatory structure found in B. subtilis and other low-GC Gram-positive bacteria. It is located in the 5' untranslated regions of mRNAs encoding ribosomal proteins L10 and L12 (rplJ-rplL). The record is from RNAcentral. Lineage: Bacteria; Bacillati; Bacillota; Bacilli; Lactobacillales; Enterococcaceae.